GACGAACGCUGGCGGCGUGCCUAAUACAUGCAAGUAGAACGCUGAAGCUUGGUGCUUGCACCGAGCGGAUGAGUUGCGAACGGGUGAGUAACGCGUAGGUAACCUGCCUGGUAGCGGGGGAUAACUAUUGGAAACGAUAGCUAAUACCGCAUAAUAGCAGUUGUUGCAUGACAACUGUUUAAAAGGUGCAAUUGCAUCACUACCAGAUGGACCUGCGUUGUAUUAGCUAGUUGGUGGGGUAACGGCUCACCAAGGCGACGAUACAUAGCCGACCUGAGAGGGUGAUCGGCCACACUGGGACUGAGACACGGCCCAGACUCCUACGGGAGGCAGCAGUAGGGAAUCUUCGGCAAUGGACGGAAGUCUGACCGAGCAACGCCGCGUGAGUGAAGAAGGUUUUCGGAUCGUAAAGCUCUGUUGUAAGAGAAGAACGAGUGUGAGAGUGGAAAGUUCACACUGUGACGGUAUCUAC
This 472-nucleotide ribosomal RNA is filed under the name Streptococcus sp. oral taxon E98. RNAcentral's name for it is "bacterial SSU rRNA". It matches the Rfam family "Bacterial small subunit ribosomal RNA", at positions 28 to 483 of the family's 1533-position model. The record is from RNAcentral. Lineage: Bacteria; Bacillati; Bacillota; Bacilli; Lactobacillales; Streptococcaceae.